UGCGAGACCGAUAGCGAACAAGUACCGUGAGGGAAAGAUGAAAAGAACUUUGAAAAGAGAGUUAAAGAGUACCUGAAACUGCUGAAAGGGAACCGAAUCGUUUCCAGUGUCUAUAAUCUAUGGCAUAUUUCAUUGGCGUGUGGAUGUGUGCGGCGUUUUGGAAGUAGUUUUCUGCUCCUGGCGUUGUUUUGCGUUCGCCUGCUGGUGCCCUGUGCUGUAGUGGGACGUCAGAGUCAGUUCGUAUACUGCGGGAAAUGGUUACUGGGGAGGUAGGUCACUUCGGUGGCUGUUAUAUCCUGGUGACUAGUCGUCGUGGUUGAGACUGAGGUGCCUACAAUGUGCUUUCGAGUCUAUGGGCCUCUCGUUUGGCUGUUUGCUUUGAUAGCUUGCUAUGUUAGUGAACGUGUUGAGCGAUUGAGACCUGUAGUAACUUGUUGCUGUUCGGGACUUUGAA
RNAcentral lists this ribosomal RNA (454 nucleotides) under uncultured Oomycota. RNAcentral describes it as "LSU rRNA". It matches the Rfam family "Eukaryotic large subunit ribosomal RNA", at positions 327 to 630 of the family's 3401-position model. Lineage: Eukaryota; Oomycota. The record is from RNAcentral.